AACGAACGCUGGCGGCAGGCUUAACACAUGCAAGUCGAGCGCCCCGCAAGGGGAGCGGCAGACGGGUGAGUAACACGUGGGGAUCUGCCCAAUGGUACGGAAUAGCUCCGGGAAACUGGGAUUAAUACCGUAUGUGCCCGCAAGGGGAAAGAUUUAUCGCCAUUGGAUGAACCCGCGUCGGAUUAGCUAGUUGGUGUGGUAAAGGCGCACCAAGGCGACGAUCCGUAGCUGGUCUGAGAGGAUGAUCAGCCACACUGGGACUGAGACACGGCCCAGACUCCUACGGGAGGCAGCAGUGGGGAAUAUUGGACAAUGGGCGCAAGCCUGAUCCAGCCAUGCCGCGUGAGUGAUGAAGGCCUUAGGGUUGUAAAGCUCUUUCGCCGACGAAGAUAAUGACGGUAGUCGGAGAAGAAGCCCCGGCUAACUUCGUGCCAGCAGCCGCCGUAA
Molecule: ribosomal RNA, 447 nt
Filed under: uncultured bacterium
Lineage: Bacteria
Description: partial 16S ribosomal RNA
Rfam family: Bacterial small subunit ribosomal RNA
Source: RNAcentral